GAUGAAGAACGCAGCGAAAUGCGAUAAGUAAUGUGAAUUGCAGAAUUCAGUGAAUCAUCGAAUCUUUGAACGCACAUUGCGCCCGGUAGUAUUCUGCCGGGCAUGCCUGUUCGAGCGUCAUUUCAACCAUCAAGCCCCAGCGCUUGUGUUGGGGGCCUGCGGCUGCCGCAGCCCCCUAAAAGCAGUGGCGGGCUCGCUAUCACACCGAGUGCAGUAGUUCAUCUUCUCUCCGGUCUUGUGAGGCGGGUUCCGGCCGUGAAACACCCCACUACAUUCAAGGUUGACCUCAAAUCAGGUAGGACUACCCGCUGAACUUAAGCAUAUCAAUAAGCGGAGGA
Molecule: unclassified non-coding RNA, 338 nt
Filed under: soil metagenome
Description: partial contains 5.8S ribosomal RNA, internal transcribed spacer 2, and large subunit ribosomal RNA
Rfam family: 5.8S ribosomal RNA (bases 1-120)
Source: RNAcentral